This is a long non-coding RNA of Helianthus annuus (common sunflower), 922 nucleotides long. RefSeq lists it as uncharacterized. The transcript has 3 exons. Lineage: Eukaryota; Viridiplantae; Streptophyta; Magnoliopsida; Asterales; Asteraceae. The record is from RefSeq and is a predicted model, not a curated record.
UAAGUCAUCUAUUUAAUUAACUUAUAAGUUGAGGGGCUAUUUGUGUAAAUAAUUGAAAGUAUAAAACAAAGCUAACCUAACUCCUUUCUAUCAGCCGCAUCCCACACACAGACUCCCCUAUCCCCUCCUUGUUCACCGGCGACCGGUACCAGAUCUCGGCCGACACUCCGGUGACAUUCACCACGACCAUCUCCUCCACCCUUUGCCACAAACACCCACCUAAACUCCCCAUCAUCCUCGACCCUCUGCUCGCUUUCGUUCUUCUCCGACACAGACCACCGGAGCCGCAGAGCGGUGGCAACCAGCGACAGAAGGGCGGCGGGGCCGCCGGUGGACACUGGCAGUGGUGAUGGUGCUUAUACUUCUCAGUUUUACAGCUUCGAGUUCCUUUGUGUUUAGCUCACUCGAUUCAGUUUUGAAGUUUGGUUCGGUUAUGGUUCAUCUCAGACUCAGUUCGGUCCUGGUUCAGGUUCGGGUUCCGGCCGACGUGAAUGAACUCCGGUGGACAUCAGUCCGAUUUGUUUCUAUUCAGAUUUAAUCUCGGAUUGAUGCUUGGUUCAGGUCUCGCUUCGGGUCGAGUCUCACAGCACGAGUCAGCCGCGAGUACGGGUGUGAACCCGGAUCCAUACACCAUCGCUGUCACUGUGUCCUUACUUAGGAUAAACGCUCUCGUUCGUUCUCUUGGAUUCCCAAUCUUUCCUCGUACGUUGCUUACAAGCAAUUCUUAUACGUAAUCAAAGUUGAUGAGGAUGAUGCUAAGAAAAGAAGUAGCGUUGAUGCCUAGAUACACAUAUAGAUGUUAGGGUUUAAUAUGUUGUAUCAAUUUUGUUAUGUUGUCAUGUUAUUUUUGUUAAACUUGUUGUAUUUGAAUUUCUUGUAAUGUUGACAAUUUAUCUUAUGAAAUGAAAUCGGAUUAUUUAAA